RNAcentral lists this transfer RNA (88 nucleotides) under Serratia symbiotica. Its description in RNAcentral is "transfer RNA Serine". It matches the Rfam family "tRNA". Rfam says of the family: Transfer RNA (tRNA) molecules are approximately 80 nucleotides in length. Lineage: Bacteria; Pseudomonadati; Pseudomonadota; Gammaproteobacteria; Enterobacterales; Yersiniaceae. The record is from RNAcentral.
GGAAGGAUGGCCGAGUGGUUUAAGGCAACGGUCUUGAAAACCGUCGAGUUUAACAGCUCCCAGAGUUCGAAUCUCUGUCCUUCCAUCA